AAAGUGCGACAAGUGUCACGACUUGCAGAUUCCCGGGAGCUGACAAAUCUCUGAAUGCAAAUUGCGGACCGACUUUCUGCCCUGUCGGCCAUGUGCUGCAGAGUGUUGUUGCCUUGAGCACUACAUCCUUUGGUGCCUAACACGUCCAAAGGGAUACGGGGUUGACAAAACGAAAUGAGGCGCUCGCGCGCCUCACACACCGUUUCGUCAGCCCUUAGAUUUGCGCAAGCUCACGUCCUAAAGACGAGCUCUUGCCUUGGAUCCGCGCCUUGCGCGCUCACCCAAUCGGCGGCAGAGCACACAACAGAGUCUUUAUCCCACACGUGCAGCCUUUUUGUGCGCAAGAAGAGACCGAGAACACUUUCUCUCUCUCUCCCUCCUUUCUGCUGACCUCUGCAGC
RNAcentral lists this unclassified non-coding RNA (400 nucleotides) under uncultured fungus. Its description in RNAcentral is "sequence contains ITS1". The stretch from base 1 to 108 matches the Rfam family "5.8S ribosomal RNA", at positions 50 to 154 of the family's 154-position model. The record is from RNAcentral. Lineage: Eukaryota; Fungi.